UUUAUGGAGAGUUUGAUCCUGGCUCAGGACGAACGCUGGCGGCGUGCCUAAUACAUGCAAGUCGAGCGGACCUCAUAAGAGCUUGCUCUUAUGAGGUUAGCGGCGGACGGGUGAGUAACACGUGGGCAACCUGCCCUGUAGACUGGGAUAACUUCGGGAAACCGGAGCUAAUACCGGAUAAUCAAUGACACCACAUGGUGUCAUUGUAAAAGUUGGGAUACUAACACUACAGGAUGGGCCCGCGGCGCAUUAGCUAGUUGGUGAGGUAACGGCUCACCAAGGCGACGAUGCGUAGCCGACCUGAGAGGGUGA
Molecule: ribosomal RNA, 312 nt
Filed under: Alkalihalobacterium chitinilyticum
Lineage: Bacteria; Bacillati; Bacillota; Bacilli; Caryophanales; Bacillaceae
Description: bacterial SSU rRNA
Rfam family: Bacterial small subunit ribosomal RNA
Source: RNAcentral